RNAcentral lists this ribosomal RNA (401 nucleotides) under uncultured bacterium. RNAcentral's name for it is "bacterial SSU rRNA". It matches the Rfam family "Bacterial small subunit ribosomal RNA", at positions 975 to 1375 of the family's 1533-position model. The record is from RNAcentral.
CAAGGCUUGACAUAUACGAGAACGGGCCAGAAAUGGCCAACUCUUUGGACACUCGUAAACAGGUGGUGCAUGGUUGUCGUCAGCUCGUGUCGUGAGAUGUUGGGUUAAGUCCCGCAACGAGCGCAACCCUCGUUCUAUGUUGCCAGCACGUAAUGGUGGGAACUCAUGGGAUACUGCCGGGGUCAACUCGGAGGAAGGUGGGGAUGACGUCAAAUCAUCAUGCCCCUUAUGUCUUGGGCUUCACGCAUGCUACAAUGGCCGGUACAAAGGGCUGCAAUACCGCGAGGUGGAGCGAAUCCCAAAAAGCCGGUCCCAGUUCGGAUUGAGGUCUGCAACUCGACCUCAUGAAGUCGGAGUCGCUAGUAAUCGCAGAUCAGCAACGCUGCGGUGAAUACGUUCCC